CCACCUCGCCCGUCCCCCUCCUUUCCGUUACGCCUGGGGUAGCCGCCAAGGAUCCCCUCCUCCACCGCUCCCUUUUUCACUGGGCAGAUAAGCAGAAAGGGGCACGAGUUUGUGGGAGCAGUGUCGCCGUCUUCAGCGCAGGGGAGCACGAGCCGCCGAAGAGAGGAGGAGGAGGAGGAGGAGGUGCCAGGGCGGGGCUCAGCAGCGCAGGUCAAGUGCGGGCCAGUGACCCGCUGUGGAAACCCUAGCCGCCAUGGUCUCGUGCCCCCUCGAGCUCGCGUCGAUUCACGUGCUGCCACCUCCCCGUCCCUCCUCGAGCUCGUCUUGGUCCUGCUAGCCGAGCUGCUGUUUGGAACCUUGGUUGCGCUGCAUCUAAAGGGCGGAGACAAUGGAUGGAACAAAAGAUGGAUCGUCGCACAGAGGCACGAGCCUGGCGGCUAAUGAAGGAGAGAGUGGCAUAUGGAGGAUGAGAAGGUGGAGGAGGUGGUAUAUGGAGGGUGAGCAGGCGGACGAGGUGGCACUCCCACAACCUGCACCUGGCUUGUCACGCGAGAAUCAGCAAUGCAACAUACUUGUGUUUGUGCCUUUUUAAUCGC
Long non-coding RNA from Lolium rigidum, 596 nucleotides. RefSeq lists it as uncharacterized. The transcript is spliced from 3 exons. The record is from RefSeq and is a predicted model, not a curated record. Lineage: Eukaryota; Viridiplantae; Streptophyta; Magnoliopsida; Poales; Poaceae.